GGCGCUGCGCUCCAGGACAAGUCCCACUGGCAGGUGAGAAUGUCCGAGCCGAGCAGCUCGUAGCCAGGCUCGCACUGGCCCAGCUCAAAUGCCUCUUCUCCCAUGACCAAUGACCUCCUUGUUUCUACCUGUCCAGCAUCCAGUCCCUCUUCUUCUGAUGAGGGAAUUGAGGCACAGAAAGAUUAAGAAACCUGCCUAACAUCACAGCAACUGCCGUCAGAGCUGGGACACCAGCUGGUUAAAGAGCGAU
Artibeus jamaicensis (Jamaican fruit-eating bat) is the source of this 250-nucleotide long non-coding RNA. RefSeq lists it as uncharacterized. The transcript is spliced from 3 exons. The record is from RefSeq and is a predicted model, not a curated record. NCBI's taxonomy places the organism in Eukaryota, Metazoa, Chordata, Mammalia, Chiroptera, Phyllostomidae.